AGAGCGAACGCUGGCGGCAGGCUUAACACAUGCAAGUCGAGCGGGCGUAGCAAUACGUCAGCGGCAGACGGGUGAGUAACGCGUGGGAACAUACCUUUUGGUUCGGAACAACCCAGGGAAACUUGGGCUAAUACCGGAUAAGCCCUUACGGGGAAAGAUUUAUCGCCAAAAGAUUGGCCCGCGUCUGAUUAGCUAGUUGGUGAGGUAACGGCUCACCAAGGCGACGAUCGGUAGCUGGUCUGAGAGGAUGAUCAGCCACAUUGGGACUGAGACACGGCCCAAACUCCUACGGGAGGCAGCAGUGGGGAAUAUUGGACAAUGGGCGCAAGCCUGAUCCAGCCAUGCCGCGUGAGUGAUGAAGGCCCUAGGGUUGUAAAGCUCUUUUGUGCGGGAAGAUAAUGACGGUACCGCAAGAAUAAGCCCCGGCUAACUUCGUGCCAGCAGCCGC
This 448-nucleotide ribosomal RNA is filed under the name uncultured bacterium. RNAcentral describes it as "SSU rRNA". It matches the Rfam family "Bacterial small subunit ribosomal RNA", at positions 26 to 518 of the family's 1533-position model. The record is from RNAcentral.